This 301-nucleotide ribosomal RNA is filed under the name uncultured bacterium. RNAcentral describes it as "partial 16S ribosomal RNA". It matches the Rfam family "Bacterial small subunit ribosomal RNA", at positions 509 to 807 of the family's 1533-position model. The record is from RNAcentral.
CAGUCGCCGCGGGAAUACGUAGGUGGCAAGCGUUAUCCGGAAUUAUUGGGCGUAAAGCGCGCGUAGGCGGUUUCUUAAGUCUGAUGUGAAAGCCCACGGCUCAACCGUGGAGGGUCAUUGGAAACUGGGAAACUUGAGUGCAGAAGAGGAAAGUGGAAUUCCAUGUGUAGCGGUGAAAUGCGCAGAGAUAUGGAGGAACACCAGUGGCGAAGGCGACUUUCUGGUCUGUAACUGACGCUGAUGUGCGAAAGCGUGGGGAUCAAACAGGAUUAGAUACCCCAGUAGUCCCUGUCUCUUAUAC